Molecule: long non-coding RNA, 900 nt
Organism: Sceloporus undulatus (fence lizard)
Lineage: Eukaryota; Metazoa; Chordata; Lepidosauria; Squamata; Phrynosomatidae
Exons: 3
Source: RefSeq, a predicted model, not a curated record
CUCCAGUCAAAAGAAUAGCAGGUUGCAAAACCUGGAUUCAUCCCUGCCUGCUACUUUGAAAAAAUUCCAACAGGAAGAAGAGACAGCAAUAAGAGUAUUCUGGGUUUUCCUGCAAAAUCUGAAACAAAAGAUGAGUUAUUUUAAGAUGGUUUUAGGGAGGGAAAAGGAAGAUUUGGUGCAGAACUGGCCUUAUGUUGUGAAGAGAAUUUGCACUCAAAUCAAGGAUUUGGUCCUUUGCCAUGAAGACAGGUUGUGGUGCAGGAAGUCUCAACUGUAAUAGAUGAGGUUUCUGUCAUGAGAGAUCUUAUUUUUCUGCAACAGUUUGGACAGGCAGUCAUUCAGUGUUGUUGUUGUUGUCACUGUCAUUGUCAUAGUAAUAGUCUUCGUUUCCCUGAAAACUGCCACUCAAAGCAGCAUACCUAAAUUAAAACAAAUACAGUUAUAAGGACAUGUAAAGACCCAAGUGUCCUGGACUGCGGCCAGCACACACAAACAUACGCCAAUAAGGAUGGCUUAACAAGAUAAUUAGCUAUGCAGCUGGAGGUAGUCCACAAACCUUGCAGGGAGUGAGAGAGAGCAAACCGAAAGCCAAAGCCGAAGUCAGGAUAACAGGGAUCAUGAUAGUCAGUCCAGUCCAAGGUUAGGUCAGCCAGAGGGUAGCAAUAGUCCAGUCUGUUCCAAAGUCAAGAGUCAUGGCAACAAGAAAUCAAGAUACAGGGAGCCAGUGCAUGCAGCAAUCACACCAAAGGAUCAUACAAUUAACUCUGGCAUUGAGUUUGUGUCUCCCAGGUGGUUAAGUAGGAAACUCUCUUCUCGGUGCCAGCUGAGACUUGUUUGCCAAUUGUCUCUCAGCAAUUCUCCUGGACCGACGCACGCAAGCACUCUCAGCCCUGCGUUGUA